Molecule: non-coding RNA, 225 nt
Organism: Caenorhabditis elegans
Lineage: Eukaryota; Metazoa; Nematoda; Chromadorea; Rhabditida; Rhabditidae
Source: Ensembl
UUUUACCGAUUGGACGUAGGUGAAGACAACUGGCAUUGUGACACAGAAACAGAUCACCGAGACUGUGGAGAAGGUGACGGCGGCGUAGCCGAUAAGGCGGUAGGCCUGGAAAUGAUAUGGAUUUUUAGUUUUUAUAAGCUUAGAAGGCCUAGAAAGCCUACAAGGCAGGCGCCUAGAAGGCCUCUAAGGUAGGCGCCUAAAUGGCCUAGAAAGCCUCCAAAGCAG